This 1484-nucleotide unclassified non-coding RNA is filed under the name Leishmania donovani. RNAcentral describes it as "gene:LdHU3.12.1170(CDS-product:hypothetical_prote in_conserved)". Lineage: Eukaryota; Euglenozoa; Kinetoplastea; Trypanosomatida; Trypanosomatidae. The record is from RNAcentral.
GGAGGACAGCACCCAUCGGUGGAGCUGCGCCCUGUGCUGUGAAGCUCUUGUUUCAGUGCCCUCCCUGCCGUGCCGCCGCAACCGCGCCGCGACGACGGCUGCCACGCUACCGCGGAGGACGGUGCCGCCUGAUGCCGACGCGGGCGUCGAGGCCUACCGGCACCGCGUAGCCCGCAGAGCUGACAUCGGCGGCGGCGGCGUCUUGCCGAGAUGCGGAGGCGUGUGCGACGACAGGCGAUGCUGACGCGCUUCUCCUGCCCGCACCGCGUCUGGACCGGCCAGCGGUGGGCUGGGCGCCCCUGCCGUGGCGGCGCGCGAUGGGCGCCGGCGUCGUGCGGCUGCCACACCCUCGCCACGGCCGGGCGCUUCCGUGCUUCGUGGUGCGCGAUCCGGUUGCCUGCGCCGUGGCGAGGCCGCGCACGCCGACGCUGCCUUGCCCGGCGUAUGCCUCGUCCCCGCUGCUGUGGGAGGUGCGGGCGCACGCGCCGCCAAGCGGCUUUGCGCGGAGCUGGCUUGUGAAGGGGCGCGCUGUCCCGAGCACCGUCGGCGCUGGCGAGCUGCUGGCCGCGACCCCGCUGGACCUGACCUUCUCUGCGCUCCAUGAGCUGCUCGGCGAUGCACAGCGCUGCUACCGCGUGGCGCGCACCUUCAUGCCAGCGGCAGGCCUGCACCGGGCCGGGGGCAUGGCCUUCUCAGCUCGCGCCACCGCCACCGCUGCUGGCUGCGAGGCCGCGGCGCCGGUGGCGAGGACUGGCGGUCGCCGAGGUCCGCGUGUGCGCGGCUGACGGCCGAGCUUUCCGCCUGGAGUGGAGCGGAUGGCACGCACGUGGGGUGCGGGGGCCCGCACGGCUGGACGGCUGACCCGCGGUCGCGGCCGGCGGCGUCGUCCAUGUGCUCUGCCACGCCUCACGGGUGGGCUGGCUGGGCACGUGCAGCAGCAGCGCGCCCGCUCCUCCUGCGCGGCUGCGUGGGCGUGCCUGAGUCCGACGGCGUGCUGCGGCGGCUGUGCGAGGCCCGUGAAGUCGGCGGCAGCGUCUCUGCGCAGACGGCGUCCUGUGAUGCGCCCGCCGACAGCCGCCACGCUGUGCACCACAGGCCAUCCGAGUCGGUGGCGGUGGGGUGGCUGACGAGACAAGUAGAGCGCGUGCGCGCCUCUGCGGUGCUGCGAGCAAUACUGCGGCUGCCGGGUGUCGGUGCUGCUGCGACGGCGACGGCGGCUGCGCCCGCCGAGGCGUGCGUGGGGGCCGCCAUGGCUGUUGCGCUUGGGGUGGUGGCCGAGUAUGUGCCGGUCCGGCUGCGCGCGGCUCUUGCGGUGGCCUGCGGUCUCGCCGACCCCGCGGCGGCGCCGGCCUGCUCGCCGACAGCCGCUGCCGCUGCCUCGCACAUCCUUCUCUGUGUGUGUGCGAGGUGCAUGAUAAUGGUAUGCGGAUGCUGGUGGGGCUGCGCAUGGGCGCUCGCCUCUCUCGCACACGCGGGCUCGACCU